Loxodonta africana (African savanna elephant) is the source of this 108-nucleotide small nuclear RNA. The record is from Ensembl. Lineage: Eukaryota; Metazoa; Chordata; Mammalia; Proboscidea; Elephantidae.
GUGCUCGCUUCAGCGGCACAAAUACUCAAAUGAGAAGGCUACAGGGAAGAUUAGCAUGGCCCCUGCGCAAGGAUGACACGCAAAAAUCAUGAAGUGUUCCAUAUUUUU